Salvelinus namaycush (lake trout) is the source of this 1862-nucleotide long non-coding RNA. RefSeq lists it as uncharacterized. The transcript has 3 exons. NCBI's taxonomy places the organism in Eukaryota, Metazoa, Chordata, Actinopteri, Salmoniformes, Salmonidae. The record is from RefSeq and is a predicted model, not a curated record.
GCCGCGGUUGCUUCUGGUCGGGAGGCUGAUAUUUUCUUUGGAAGUGGCGCAGAUGUUACUUUUGUUUAAAGACACUGUAAUUAAGGAAGAAGGACAGAAGUCUGAAAAAGCGUGACCUAUUUCUCUUUUGAUCAGCUGUCAAAGGAGGAGCAGGGGGUCCUUUCAAGCACGGGUCUCUUCCUAAACUUUCAGCUGGCAACAGACGAGACCACAAAUUGGGGGAACAACCGUAUUGUAGGCUACCUGUGGGGCUUUCCCCCCCGCUUGUUUGGUCGUUUGGACAGCGCGCGAACCCACUGCACCGAGACAAUUACCGUCCAAGGAUAUUAUGAUAGAAUGACGAACGAACGUUUAGGCUUGCUUUGCUUUCACAUCUCUUUUGAGAGGCAUUUUUGUAUUAUUUCCAUGUUGGGACUCCCAAUCUAGGCUAUGCGUCAAAAAUACUUACUGCUGGAAAUGGGUUAGAGUAGUCAACAAAUCAAUGUAGCCUAUUCUAAAAUGAGGCCGAGUCAACAUGGUUUCUAAACUAUAUGUAUAUCCGGCCGAUUUCUAAACUAUAUGUAUAUCCGGCCGACUAUAUGUAUAUAUGACCGAUUAGCCUAUAUUGUUUUCCAAUUUUGGGGGGCAAAGAAAAAUGGGUUGUGUGGUGACUACUUUGUACAGUAAAGUAUAUAAUCUACAAAUCACAAUACUAAACUAAUUGGAGUUUAUUGUAACAUUUUCUCUCUGUGUAAACUAGGCCUGUAACAUUUGUAGACUCGGUCUAUAUCAAUGUAAUAACCCGAAAUAUGUUAUUUUUCAAUCAUAAAGUCACACGUUUCCAAAGACAUUCUGCUAAAUUAUCAUAUAAAUUAUUAUCAUAUAAAACCUGUAUAAUUGUAUAUUUCAAGUAGCCUAAUAUAAUCUUAUAGGCCUAUACAGUAAGAGACACACACUCAAAUCUGUCAGAAAAAAAGAUAUUUGCAAAAUAUCGUUGGCCACAAAUUCAAAUCUAAUCACCCCUCAUAAAUGUAUCUGAAAGUCUAAAAUCAGAAUAAUAUGUACCACUAAUAAAACAUUAUGUACAAGUCCCUCUGAGCAUAAUACUUUCUAAACCAAAAGGAAGGGUAAUGUCUAAAAGACAAGCCUGAAUAACUCUGGGUCGAUCAGGACAUUUUUUGUUGUCCUGGUCUCUCUCUCUCUCCUGCCAUCUGCUCAGCAAAUGCAGUAGGCUAGUAUUGAUUAGUAUCAUUGUGCUACAGAGCCCAUGCUAAUCUAUACCGUUACUGGCAAUCCGUUGGCGCUUUACAUUGCAUCUGUUCAUACGCUAGUAUAGCUAGCGAUGUGAGUCCAUGACCUAGCCCUGUCUACACCCCUAGUCACUGUUUCAGAAGCCGUUAGGGCAUUUGAACUGAUUCCAGAGGCCGACCCUCAACAACGCCGCCGGAGAAGAGGCAGACGGAGCGGUCUUCUGGUCAGACUUCGGAGGCGCGCACACCACCCACCGCUUUCCCGAGUAUAUUACUCGAUGAUGUCCAGUCUAACAAGGGAGGAAAAUAAAGAAGUCAUCACAGACAAGCAGAGAAGACGAGAGAAUAGUGAAUAGAGAGGAGAAGGAUUCCAUAACCGUGAGGUUUGGGAAGCCUAAAAGCUCUUCAGUCAAGGAGACAGAUGGAAUAUAAAAUAAUUGAUUCCAAAAGCUAGUCAAUGAAGCAGCCUUUAAUGAUUGUGUGUUGGACUGUGGACAGAUGCCAUGUGGUGAAAGUCAGAGGGGAGCUAGUGAAUAAAUAGACGGAGCGAGAGAGAGAGAGAAAGAGAGAGGGAGAGAGAAAGGACAGAGAGAGAAAUGAGAGAGAGAGAGACAGAGACAGAGAGACAGAGAG